UCAUCUACUUCACAAUUUUGCAUAUCACUCUUCUUCAUCCAAAUUUUCCUAAUAGAAGAACAAAUCCCCGACAACUGUGUCACCAACUUGGUCAAAUAACUUACUUGAUCAGGAAGGAAUUCAAUCUGACCAAUAAAAUCCUUAUUUCUACUUCUAUUUAAGCACCUGUUUCUAUCUUUGUUCAGGAAUUGAUGACACCUAACAUGUAUGUGUCCUAACUCACUAUAGUGAAAGCAUGUAGGGAUAAACCUAGGACCAAGUUUAAGUGAUCGCAAACGUCUAUUCCUAGGUUAAUGGGUCUUACGCUGUCUAGUAAGCCUCCAUCCUACAAAUCCCUUAUUUUUUAGUUUCUGGGUUAGGCACAUGUUUAGGUUUGAUCAAUGGUGGGUAUAAAUGUAGUCUUUGAGGUAUUAACAGUAUUCUCUUUGAGACCUAGACCUUCCCUAUUACCAGCCGAUUUGCUUAUUGCUAGGAUGUUAUCUAACUUUUAGAACCACUAGAGAAGGUAAGCAAUCGAGGCUUGGAAUACUCUAGAUCGCUCAUAAUGUUUUUAACUUGGAUUUCCAAAGUCUCAUUUUUAGCGAUCAGCUUACUGACUUUCCUAGAGGACUUCUCAAGCUCGCAUGUGAAAUUCUUAAGCCAAGUAUCUAAAGAUUCAUUCAUCGAUUUCAAUUCACUCAGGGUUGAGGUAGAUUCCUGGAUGUACUUUAAUAGCUUAUCUUUUACCAAUUUAAGCUCGUUUACGUUU
This 748-nucleotide long non-coding RNA is filed under the name Olea europaea (common olive). RNAcentral describes it as "long non-coding RNA (OEUR_LNC013475)". The record is from RNAcentral. Lineage: Eukaryota; Viridiplantae; Streptophyta; Magnoliopsida; Lamiales; Oleaceae.